Molecule: long non-coding RNA, 235 nt
Filed under: Manihot esculenta (cassava)
Lineage: Eukaryota; Viridiplantae; Streptophyta; Magnoliopsida; Malpighiales; Euphorbiaceae
Description: long non-coding RNA (MESC_LNC006616)
Source: RNAcentral
GAUCAAAGAAGAAUACCUGGGAUGAAGUCUCAUGGUAUAUCUUCUCGCCUUCUUCUGAUCAGUAUCAUAGGCCUGACCCAUGUACUGAAGCAGAUCCAGAAACUUAUCUGUGAACUCAUCAACAGUCAUCUCAUCUGUUUGUCUCAACUGUUCAAACUCAAUUAGCUUCAUCUCCCUGGAACUAUCUGGAAAAGCCCACCCUGCAAAUUCAUUGGCGAACUCUCCCCACGACAUA